Non-coding RNA from Branchiostoma floridae (Florida lancelet), 80 nucleotides. Lineage: Eukaryota; Metazoa; Chordata; Leptocardii; Amphioxiformes; Branchiostomatidae. The record is from Rfam.
GCUUAGAUGGUGUUCAGCACCAAGGACAGGGUUGUUAGUGCUUAGAUGGUGUUCAGCACCAAGGACAGGGUUGUUAGUGC